Molecule: transfer RNA, 69 nt
Filed under: Ratufa bicolor (black giant squirrel)
Lineage: Eukaryota; Metazoa; Chordata; Mammalia; Rodentia; Sciuridae
Description: tRNA-Lys
Source: RNAcentral
CAUUAUGAAGCUAAACGUAGCAUUAACCUUUUAAGUUAAAGACUAGGAACCUAGACUUCCUCAUAAUGA